This 764-nucleotide long non-coding RNA is filed under the name Olea europaea subsp. europaea. The record is from RNAcentral. Lineage: Eukaryota; Viridiplantae; Streptophyta; Magnoliopsida; Lamiales; Oleaceae.
CAACUCAUAAUUGGGGAAUUCGUAGGUUCAAUUCCUACUGGAUUCACGCCAAUGGGAACCUCCAAUAAGUCUAUUGAAAUUGGCUUUGUAUCAAUGGAAUCUCAUCAUCCAUACAUAACGAAUUGGUCCUUGCGGAAAGGAAAAAGAAUUUCACGCUCUUCCUUUCAGGAAGGGAGGAUUAGGGAAAUCCUCUUGGUUGCAGCUUUCUCCAGACCUCCAGGAAAAGCAUGAAAAAAAAAUGGCUCGAAUGGUACGAUCCCUCCGUCACCCCAGAAUGAAAGGGGUGAUCUCGUAGUUCUUGGUCUGUGAAGAUGCAUUGUUAGGUGCUCCAUUUUCUUUUCCCAUUGAGGCCUACCAUACGAUCUGUUAUAUAAAUAGGCAAAUGUUCCUUACCAUUAUGAAUAGCAAUUGUAUGGGCAAUCAUUGUGGGUAUAAUGGUAGAUGCUCAGGACAAGUUACUAUUAUUUCUUUUUCUACUUUUUUUAAUUAAGCUUAUCAAUUUUCUUAAUAAAUGAUUGACUACAAAAAGAUUUUUUUAGUGAACGUGCCACAACUUCCUCCUAUUUUUUUAUUUUUGUAAAGAUGAAGAAAGAAAUUCUAUUUUCUCGCCUAUUUACUACGCGACGAAGAAUCAAAUUCUCACUAUAUUUAUUCUUUUUUCUACUUCUGCUUCCAAGUGCAGGAUAACCCCAAGGGGUUGUGUGUUUUUUUCUACCAAUUGGGGCUCUACCUUCACCAUUGAAAUAGAACGAUACAUAUAAGCU